UGGCCGAGCUUCUACAAUAAGCGGACUUCAUCCAGACUCCUACGAGAGCCGGACUCCAUCCGAACUUCUACAGCAGAAUUGAAUCUCAGACUCCUCCAACAUUCGACCUUCCCCAGUGUCCUCAAGACUCCUCCAGUGAACGAACCUCCACAGCACCAUCCGAACUCCACUGUCGGACGAUCCUCUGUCGGAUUCCUCAUGAAAUCAGACCUCUCCGGCAGACAAUCUACAGAUGAGCUUCCACAUCAGGC
RNAcentral lists this long non-coding RNA (251 nucleotides) under Elaeis guineensis (African oil palm). Its description in RNAcentral is "long non-coding RNA (EGUI_LNC049202)". The record is from RNAcentral. Lineage: Eukaryota; Viridiplantae; Streptophyta; Magnoliopsida; Arecales; Arecaceae.